CUCGUUAUAGUUUAUACAGCAAAACAUCAAGUUGCAAACUUGGGAAUCGGGCAGGUCCGCAACGAGU
Molecule: transfer RNA, 67 nt
Filed under: Semisulcospira libertina
Lineage: Eukaryota; Metazoa; Mollusca; Gastropoda; Semisulcospiridae
Description: tRNA-Cys
Source: RNAcentral